AAGUCGUAACAAGGUCUCCGUUGGUGAACCAGCGGAGGGAUCAUUACCGAGUUUACAACUCCCAAACCCCUGUGAACAUACCAAUUGUUGCCUCGGCGGAUCAGCCCGCUCCCGGUAAAACGGGACGGCCCGCCAGAGGACCCCUAAACUCUGUUUCUAUAUGUAACUUCUGAGUAAAACCAUAAAUAAAUCAAAACUUUCAACAACGGAUCUCUUGGUUCUGGCAUCGAUGAAGAACGCAGCAAAAUGCGAUAAGUAAUGUGAAUUGCAGAAUUCAGUGAAUCAUCGAAUCUUUGAACGCACAUUGCGCCCGCCAGUAUUCUGGCGGGCAUGCCUGUUCGAGCGUCAUUUCGACCCUCAAGCCCAGCUUGGUGUUGGGACUCGCGAGUCAAAUCGCGUUCCCCAAAUUGAUUGGCGGUCACGUCGAGCUUCCAUAGCGUAGUAGUAAAACCCUCGUUACUGGUAAUCGUCGCGGCCACGCCGUUAAACCCCAACUUCUGAAUGUUGACCUCGGAUCAGGUAGGAAUACCCGCUGAACUUAAGCAUAUCA
RNAcentral lists this ribosomal RNA (550 nucleotides) under uncultured fungus. Its description in RNAcentral is "eukaryotic LSU rRNA". The stretch from base 195 to 348 matches the Rfam family "5.8S ribosomal RNA". Lineage: Eukaryota; Fungi. The record is from RNAcentral.